GGCAGUGAGGAUGUGGGGGGCAAUGGGGGACAGUGGGGGCAAUGGGGAUGUGGGGGGCAAUGGGGAUGUGGGGGGCGAUGGGGACUUUGGGGUCCACCCUCAGCCCAUCCCCAUAGCGCUGGCACUGCCCUAUGGCGGUGCCCCAUAGGACACCUACCAGCCGCAGCUCCUCACCCUGCCCCACACCUCACCCCACACAUUGCUUUGCCCCACAGCUCACCUACAGCUGAAGGUCCUCACCCCAUAUUGACCCCACACUGACCCCAUAUCUCCCCCCCAUAUCACCCCCAUUAAUCCUCUACAGGAGACAUACCAGCUGAAGAUCCUCACCCCACUCUGACCCCAUAUUGACCCCAUAUACUGACCCACACUGACCCCAUAUCCCCCCCCUACAGGUGACGUACCAGCUGAAGAUCCUGACCCCACACUGACCCCACACACUGACCCUAUAUCCCCUAUAUGUCCCCCAUAUAGGUGACGUACCAGCUGAAGAUCCUGACCCCACCCUGACCCCACACACUGACCCUAUAUCCCCUAUAUGUCUCCCAUAUAGGUGACGUACCAGCUGAAGAUCCUGACCCCACCCUGACCCCAUACACUGACCCUAUAUUUCCCUUAUGCAGGUGACGUACCAGCUGAAGACCCUGACCCCACACUGACCCCACACUGACCCUAUAUCCCCUAUAUGUCUCCUAUGCAGGUGACAUACCAGCUGAAGAUCCUGACCCCACCCUGACCCCACACACUGACCCUAUGUAUCUCCCCCCAUAUAGGUGACGUACCAGCUGAAGAUCCUGACCCCACACACUGACCCCAUAUCCCCUAUCUCCCCCCAUAUAGGUGACGUACCAGCUGAAGAUCCUGACCCCACAGUGACCCCACACUGACCCCACACUAUCCCCUAUAUCUCCCCCCCAUAUAGGUGACGUACCAGCUGAAGAUCCUGACCCCACACACUGACCCUAUGUAUCUCCCCCCUAUAGAUGACGUACCAGCUGAAGACCCUGACUCCACACACUGACCCUAUAUCCCCUAUAUCUCCCCCCCUACAGGUGACGUACCAGCUGAAGAUCCUGACCCCACACACUGACCCUAUAUCCCCUAUAUCUCCCCUCAUAUAGGUGAUGUACCAGCUGAAGAUCCUGACCCCAC
This is a long non-coding RNA of Gallus gallus (chicken), 1152 nucleotides long. RefSeq lists it as uncharacterized. The transcript is spliced from 2 exons. Lineage: Eukaryota; Metazoa; Chordata; Aves; Galliformes; Phasianidae. The record is from RefSeq and is a predicted model, not a curated record.